UAGGUGUUGGGAUCCGAACUCAGGUC
This 26-nucleotide non-coding RNA is filed under the name Mus musculus (house mouse). Lineage: Eukaryota; Metazoa; Chordata; Mammalia; Rodentia; Muridae. The record is from RNAcentral.